AGGGAUUUAGCUCAGCGGCAUAAGCACCUGCCUUGCAAGCAGGUGGUCGUGAGUUCAAUCCCUG
Molecule: transfer RNA, 64 nt
Filed under: Cavia porcellus (domestic guinea pig)
Lineage: Eukaryota; Metazoa; Chordata; Mammalia; Rodentia; Caviidae
Rfam family: tRNA
About the family: Transfer RNA (tRNA) molecules are approximately 80 nucleotides in length. Their secondary structure includes four short double-helical elements and three loops (D, anti-codon, and T loops).
Source: Rfam by way of RNAcentral